AUUUAUAAUUGAAUAUUUCCUGAGACGUGGGUGCCGUUUGGCUUAAUGCAUUGCCUGCCGAGGAUACAAGACUUUUUAAGGGUUUUCUAAGUCCUUGUGCUUUGGCAUAAGGACUUUAUUUUUUUAGAA
This is a non-coding RNA of Dehalococcoides sp., 129 nucleotides long. The record is from Rfam. Lineage: Bacteria; Bacillati; Chloroflexota; Dehalococcoidia; Dehalococcoidales; Dehalococcoidaceae.